UUCAAGAUGAUGAAGCUUUUUUGAGGUGAACAUAUGAUGUGCGUAACUCAUAUAAUGUAAUGCCUUCAAAGUUCUCUGAUUGUU
Cucurbita maxima (winter squash) is the source of this 84-nucleotide small nucleolar RNA. RefSeq annotates it as small nucleolar RNA R160. Lineage: Eukaryota; Viridiplantae; Streptophyta; Magnoliopsida; Cucurbitales; Cucurbitaceae. The transcript has a single exon. The record is from RefSeq and is a predicted model, not a curated record.